Capsicum annuum is the source of this 87-nucleotide non-coding RNA. NCBI's taxonomy places the organism in Eukaryota, Viridiplantae, Streptophyta, Magnoliopsida, Solanales, Solanaceae. The record is from Rfam.
GACAAUGAUUCCAGUUAUUGUCGCCCCCGUCUUACGUUCCAUCCAAAUUUAUUUGCAAGGUGGUGAUUGACACAUUGUAUUUGAUUC